AUGUAGGGUGAUGGAAAAAGAAUCCUUAGGUGUGGUUGUGGCCGUCUUGGUCACUUGUGUGCCACUUGCCAAUGCUAGGACAUGUCAUAGUUACAGUGACUGUUA
Sapajus apella (tufted capuchin) is the source of this 105-nucleotide small nucleolar RNA. RefSeq annotates it as small nucleolar RNA SNORD46. Lineage: Eukaryota; Metazoa; Chordata; Mammalia; Primates; Cebidae. The transcript has a single exon. The record is from RefSeq and is a predicted model, not a curated record.